Molecule: ribosomal RNA, 253 nt
Filed under: uncultured bacterium
Lineage: Bacteria
Description: partial 16S ribosomal RNA
Rfam family: Bacterial small subunit ribosomal RNA
Source: RNAcentral
UACGUAGGGGGCAAGCGUUAUCCGGAUUUACUGGGUGUAAAGGGAGCGUAGACGGCGGUGCAAGCCAGAUGUGAAAGCCCGGGGCUCAACCCCGGGACUGCAUUUGGAACUGUGCUGCUAGAGUGUCGGAGAGGCAGGCGGAAUUCCUAGUGUAGCGGUGAGAUGCGUAGAUAUUAGGAGGAACACCAGUGGCGAAGGCGGCCUGCUGGACGAUGACUGACGUUGAGGCUCGAAAGCGUGGGGAGCAAACAGG